GAUGCCAGUAUGAUAGACACCAGGGAUUCUACGGCUGAACUAAAUAAAUAUUAUCGCUCUACCCAGCACCUAAAGCCGUCUAUCUUAGAAGUACCUCAGUAUUAUUAUUGACAAUUAGAUUAAAAAUAUAUAAAUCAAUUAACUUUGUGAUUCUUUUUGUUUGAUUUUACAGGGGACAGUAUGUUAAAUACAGGUUUUAUUUUACCACGAUCUGUCUGGGAUGUUCUUCUCCACCCAGACAGAGGUAACGACGAGUAUAGUGGAUAUAAAUCUACUGAUCUAUUUUAAACAAGUGUCCAUGUAUAUUUUUCUUUUUUAAUUCUACAGGAGACAGUAUGUUGGACACAGGUUAUUCUAACUUCGAUCUGUCUGGGAUGUCCUUCAGUACACCAGACAGGGACAACGACGGGCAUACUGGUGGUAACUGUGCUGCUGGCAGUAUCCGUAGAGGAGGCUGGUGGUUCAAUGAGUGUCACCGAGCCUUCCUUAACGGUCAAUGGUCCCCGGAGUCCUGGUCCAGACCAUGGUAUCCCACAGUAAAGAAUGGGACAUCAGUGAAGGGGACCACCAUGAUGAUCAGACGGAACUAGACGAAAGAUCAUCCAUGGAUUAUGGAAACCCUCAAGAGACGAUUUUAAAUUAAUCUUUAUCGCUGAGUUCUUUUUUUUAAUAUUUAACAUCAAGUAACAAACAGUAAAAGAAGGUGGUUGAACGGCUCUGUAAAGCGAUACUGGAUGUAUUCAGUAAAAGAUGUAUUUUAUAUGUGUUGUAAUAAAUUUGAAAA
Long non-coding RNA from Saccostrea cuccullata (small rock oyster), 784 nucleotides. RefSeq lists it as uncharacterized. The record is from RefSeq and is a predicted model, not a curated record. NCBI's taxonomy places the organism in Eukaryota, Metazoa, Mollusca, Bivalvia, Ostreida, Ostreidae. The transcript has 2 exons.